Molecule: ribosomal RNA, 305 nt
Filed under: uncultured bacterium
Lineage: Bacteria
Description: partial 16S ribosomal RNA
Rfam family: Bacterial small subunit ribosomal RNA
Source: RNAcentral
ACAGCAGUAGCCGCGGGAAUGCGAAGGGGGCUAGCGUUGUUCGGAAUUAUUGGGCGUAAAGGGCUCGCAGGCGGUUUCUUAAGUCUGAUGUGAAAGCCCCCGGCUCAACCGGGGAGGGUCAUUGGAAACUGGGAAACUUGAGUGCAGGAGAGGAGAGUGGAAUUCCACGUGUAGCGGUGAAAUGCGUAGAGAUGUGGAGGAACACCAGUGGCGAAGGCGACUCUCUGGUCUGUAACUGACGCUGAUGAGCGAAAGCGUGGGGAGCGAACAGGAUUAGAGACCCGUGUAGUCCCUGUCUCUUAUAA